RNAcentral lists this ribosomal RNA (465 nucleotides) under Vreelandella stevensii. RNAcentral's name for it is "partial 16S ribosomal RNA". It matches the Rfam family "Bacterial small subunit ribosomal RNA", at positions 338 to 795 of the family's 1533-position model. The record is from RNAcentral. Lineage: Bacteria; Pseudomonadati; Pseudomonadota; Gammaproteobacteria; Oceanospirillales; Halomonadaceae.
CCUACGGGAGGCAGCAGUGGGGAAUAUUGGACAAUGGGGGCAACCCUGAUCCAGCCAUGCCGCGUGUGUGAAGAAGGCCCUCGGGUUGUAAAGCACUUUCAGUGAGGAAGAACGCCUGGUGGUUAAUACCCAUCAGGAAAGACAUCACUCGCAGAAGAAGCACCGGCUAACUCCGUGCCAGCAGCCGCGGUAAUACGGAGGGUGCGAGCGUUAAUCGGAAUUACUGGGCGUAAAGCGCGCGUAGGUGGCUUGAUAAGCCGGUUGUGAAAGCCCCGGGCUCAACCUGGGAACGGCAUCCGGAACUGUCAAGCUAGAGUGCAGGAGAGGAAGGUAGAAUUCCCGGUGUAGCGGUGAAAUGCGUAGAGAUCGGGAGGAAUACCAGUGGCGAAGGCGGCCUUCUGGACUGACACUGACACUGAGGUGCGAAAGCGUGGGUAGCAAACAGGAUUAGAUACCCGUGUAGUC